CCUGACAGCCCCCUCUUCCUCUUGGCUGUGGUGGUGCUGUAUGUCCACCUCUCUAGGGACCCAGGACCACUCCUCCUCUAUCUCUGUACUAUCUGAGGCCAAGGACCUAGCACAGCAUUAGGCUUGACCACUGUUGAUAGGAAUAGACACAUAGUCUAUUUCUGGUUAAUCUUGUCUGGGCCUUAGCAUGGUGUAGAAGAUUGGGGGAGGCGUGGUGGAAGGAGAUUUUCGUGGACCUGAAUUUUCACUGUUUUGAGAACUGGGGCGCUAUGCUUCCUCUCUGACUCUUUGCUGCUGCUUGGGUAACAGGCAAAGGCCUGUGUCCUGCCUCCUCUGGCUCCCUUCCUUGUCUGGAGAGAAGGUAACCUCUAGAUCACUGGUUCACCUAUGAAUUCAGCCUGCAAAUGGAGACAUACUUCCUGAAGAUGCUGAGCACUGUGAAGUCAAGUGGAGAGACGUCCAUAGCAGAGCGUCCAUGGAUGGGACCAGGGUGCUCUGGUCCUGGCUUUGUGGCUAUUUCCAGAGGCUGGCUUCAAAGGAGAAGAGAAGAACUUGGGUGCGGGUUAUUGAAGGGAGUAGGCCUUGGAAUAUAGGUGUGAUUCCAGGGGCGGGACCAGCAUGAGCAAAGGUGCUGAGAUGGGAAACAGGCUGUUAAUGUGAGGAGCAGAGUACUGUCUGGUAGCACCCAAGGGUGCCAGGGAGAGAAGGAUAAAAUUGGAGAGCUUAAGUCCCCAAGUGUUAGAGGAACAAGGAAGUUUGGGGCAGCACUCUGUAAGAUUGGUGUUUGCUCUAGUGUUCUGAGAAGGAGCAGGAAGGGCAUCUAUCAGCAUCCAGGAGUGGGGCGGCUGCAGGUCCUGUGUUUGCAGAAGGAUAACUUGCUACGUGAAACCAUUAUAGAAAUCCUCAAGAGAUUCCUGCCAUUAGGCAGGAGGCAAUAGUUCUCCCAUAGAUGUGUUAAAACUUGGGUUUCAAGUGGGGAACAGUGAUGUGUAAUUCAUUUCUCCUGGUGCUUGAUCUGUGAUCCCAAGGGAGAGAACAGGAAGGGAUUAGAGAGCUCUAUAUUACAACUUAAUUGCUUGAAGGAAAAAUAUUAUUCUUUAUUGUUAACCAUUA
Molecule: non-coding RNA, 1113 nt
Organism: Cricetulus griseus (Chinese hamster)
Lineage: Eukaryota; Metazoa; Chordata; Mammalia; Rodentia; Cricetidae
Source: RefSeq, a predicted model, not a curated record